Molecule: small RNA, 570 nt
Filed under: Pongo abelii (Sumatran orangutan)
Lineage: Eukaryota; Metazoa; Chordata; Mammalia; Primates; Hominidae
Description: processed transcript
Source: RNAcentral
CCCUCACUCGUCUGGCCCGCCAGUCUCCCGCGCGAUGGCCUCGGCGCUGAGCUAUGUCUCCAAGUUCAAGUCCUUCGUGAUCUUGUUCGUCACCCCGCUCCUGCUGCUGCCACUCGUCAUUCUGAUGCCCGCCAAGGUGUGCCUACGUCAUCAUCCUCAUGGCCAUUUACUGGUGCACAGAAGUCAUCCCUCUGGCUGUCACCUCUCUCAUGCCUGUCUUGCUUUUCCCACUCUUCCAGAUUCUGGACUCCAAGCAGGUGUGUGUCCAGUACAUGAAGGACACCAACAUGCUGUUCCUGGGCGGCCUCAUCAUGGCCGUGGCUGUGGAGCGCUGGAACCUGCACAAGAGGAUCGCCCUGCGCACGCUCCUCUGGGUGGGGGCCAAGCCUGCACAGCUGAUGCUGGGCUUCAUGGGCGUCACAGCCCUCCUGUCCAUGUGGAUCAGUAACACGGCAACCACGGCCAUGAUGGUGCCCAUCGUGGAGGCCAUAUUGCAGCAGAUGGAAGCCACGAGCGCAGCCACCGAGACCAGCCUGGAGCUGGUGGACAAGGGCAAGGCCAAGGAGCUGC